RNAcentral lists this ribosomal RNA (429 nucleotides) under uncultured bacterium. RNAcentral describes it as "bacterial SSU rRNA". It matches the Rfam family "Bacterial small subunit ribosomal RNA", at positions 355 to 776 of the family's 1533-position model. The record is from RNAcentral.
UGGGGAAUUUUGCGCAAUGGGCUAACGCCUGACGCAGCAACGCCGCGUGGAGGAUGAAGGUCUUUGGAUUGUAAACUCCUGUCAGCAGGGAAAAAGGGAGGGGACCUAAUACGUCCUUGACUUGAUUGUACCUGCAGAGGAAGCCCCGGCUAACUCUGUGCCAGCAGCCGCGGUAAUACAGAGGGGGCAAGCGUUAUUCGGAAUUAUUGGGCGUAAAGGGCGCGUAGGCGGCCUGGCAAGUGACGGGUGAAAUCCCUCGGCUUAACCGAGGAACUGCCUGUCAGACUGCUUGGCUUGAGACCGGGAGAGGCGAGUGGAAUUCCCAGUGUAGCGGUGAAAUGCGUAGAUAUUGGGAGGAACACCAGUGGCGAAGGCGGCUCGCUGGACCGGAACUGACGCUGAGGCGCGAAAGCGUGGGGAGCAAACAGG